This 191-nucleotide unclassified non-coding RNA is filed under the name uncultured fungus. RNAcentral's name for it is "sequence contains ITS1". Lineage: Eukaryota; Fungi. The record is from RNAcentral.
UUAACUAUUAUAUAGUUACUCAGACAUCACUAAAAACAGAGUUUGUUUCCUCUGGCAGGCACGCACUAGCCGAGGCCCGUGGUGUUUCCACGGCCUGCCAAAGCAACGAAGGUAUAGUAUUCAAGGGUGGGAGAUCUACCCGUGAGGGCAUGAACUCUAUAAUGAUCCUUCCGCAGGUUCACCUACGGAAA